AAUAAAAAUACGACAAA
RNAcentral lists this small RNA (17 nucleotides) under Arabidopsis thaliana (thale cress). RNAcentral's name for it is "ATSL064920". Lineage: Eukaryota; Viridiplantae; Streptophyta; Magnoliopsida; Brassicales; Brassicaceae. The record is from RNAcentral.